This 70-nucleotide transfer RNA is filed under the name Chamaeleo chamaeleon musae. RNAcentral's name for it is "tRNA-Trp". The record is from RNAcentral. Lineage: Eukaryota; Metazoa; Chordata; Lepidosauria; Squamata; Chamaeleonidae.
AGAAACUUAGGAUAUGUUUAAACCCGAGGCCUUCAAAGCCCCAAAAAAGAGAUUAACCUCUUAGUUUCUG